This is a long non-coding RNA of Tachyglossus aculeatus (Australian echidna), 1003 nucleotides long. RefSeq lists it as uncharacterized. The record is from RefSeq and is a predicted model, not a curated record. Lineage: Eukaryota; Metazoa; Chordata; Mammalia; Monotremata; Tachyglossidae. The transcript is spliced from 5 exons.
CAGCUCCCCGCAUCGCUGCCUUGCAGAAAGACAUGAGAGCUGAAUGCCCAGGAAAAAGCGAAAGCAGAUGGAAGAGGAGAGGGAAUCCAGACUGCUGAAAGCAAAAUGACCACCAACUUACAGGAAAGAAGACCGAGAGAUCCUUAAUGGUCAGAAGUAAACUUUCAUUUGGAACUGUAAAGGAAUGGAGAGCCUGGGGGAUGACUUGGAAAUCAACAAAUCAAUAAAUGAUUAUGAAUGGCUGCUGGAGAUAUUUGAUUUCCAAUUUUGAAGGAGCACACAAGUCAAUUAAACAGUUGGCUGUUAAUCUGUAUGUCUGAGAUGUCAAAACUAUAUUAACAAGAACUAGAUCUCAGUGAAAAUACAGGCACGGAUGGCUAUAAAAAACAUCUAUGAAGGUUCUGAAUUCCCUCACUUUUAUGAGAAAUGUCUGAGUCUCUCUCUGGAAAAACAAGAUGUGUAGUGAAUAAUAGAUUAAGAGCAAAAUCAAUAUUAUUUCUAGUCACGGCACCCUCAAAAAAGAUGAUUCAUUUGCAAUUGUUUGAUUUUAUGAGGAUAAGAGACUUAAGUCACAACAAAUGUAGAAAAAUUACACUAUCUCUGUGACAAAGAAAUACUGCUUUGGCCACUGCUUCAAAAAAAGACUGAGGCAAUAAUCUAAAUGCUGCUUUUCCUGAGCCACUUCAUUCAGACUCUCCUCACGUGGUAAAUGGUCAGUCGAUCUGUUUGGACUACAACAUAAAAUGGCACAUCAGAGCUGCACUGAAGAUCUCCUACUGAUGCCACAAAUUUGCUAGCUUUUAGUGACACCGCAUGUCAAGUGAUUGUAUUGUCAAACCUUCCAGUCUCUUGGCACAGCCUUUCCCACAAAGGAGAAGAUGAGCGAAGAGGGGAAGAUUAACAGAACAAAGUAAAGUCAAGGUUCAUCUAUGUUGCAGAAAAGAACAAGCCUGAGAAACAGCAUGACCUAGUUGAUAGAGCAUGGGCUUAGGAGUCAGAAGGA